RNAcentral lists this ribosomal RNA (253 nucleotides) under uncultured bacterium. Its description in RNAcentral is "partial 16S ribosomal RNA". It matches the Rfam family "Bacterial small subunit ribosomal RNA", at positions 524 to 776 of the family's 1533-position model. The record is from RNAcentral.
UACGUAGGGGGCUAGCGUUGUCCGGAAUCAUUGGGCGUAAAGAGCGUGUAGGCGGUCCGGUAAGUCCGUUGUGAAAGUCAAGGGCUCAACCCUUGAAUGCCGGCGGAUACUGUCGGGCUAGAGUCCGGAAGAGGCAAGUGGAAUCCCCGGUGUAGCGGUGAAAUGCGCAGAUAUCGGGAGGAACACCUAUGGCGAAGGCAGCUUGCUGGGACGGUACUGACGCUGAGACGCGAAAGCGUGGGGAGCAAACAGG